Molecule: ribosomal RNA, 182 nt
Filed under: uncultured bacterium
Lineage: Bacteria
Description: partial 16S ribosomal RNA
Rfam family: Bacterial small subunit ribosomal RNA
Source: RNAcentral
CAUGAAGCCGGAAUUGCUAGUAAUGGCAGGUCAGCAUACUGCCGUGAAUACGUUCCCGGGCCUCGUACACACCGCCCGUCACACCAUGAGAGUUGGGAAUACCCGAAGCCUGUGAGCUAACAUUUAUGAGGCAGCAGUCGAAGGUAGAAUCAAUGAUUGGGGUGAAGUCGUAACAAGGUAUC